GAUGAACGCUGACAGAAUGCUUAACACAUGCAAGUCGACUCGAGUCUUCGGACUUGGGUGGCGCACGGGUGAGUAACGCGUAAAGAACUUGCCUCUUAGACCGGGACAACAUCUGGAAACGGAUGCUAAUACCGGAUAUUAUGGUUUUUUCGCAUGGAGGAAUCAUGAAAGCUAGAUGCGCUAAGAGAGAGCUUUGCGUCCCAUUAGCUGGUUGGUGAGGUAACGGCCCACCAAGGCAAUGAUGGGUAGCCGGCCUGAGAGGGUGAACGGCCACAAGGGGACUGAGACACGGCCCUUACUCCUACGGGAGGCAGCAGUGGGGAAUAUUGGACAAUGGACCGCAAGUCUGAUCCAGCAAUUCUGUGUGCACGAUGACGUUUUUCGGGAUGUAAAGUGCUUUCAGUCGGGAAGAAGUCAGUGACGGUACCGACAGAAGAAGCGACGGCUAAAUACGUGCCAGCAGCCGCGGUAAUACGUAUGUCGCAAGCGUUAUCCGGAUUUAUUGGGCGUAAAGCGCGUCUAGGCGGCAAGGAAAGUCUGAUGUGAAAAUGCAGGGCUCAACUCUGUAUUGCGUUGGAAACUGUGUAACUAGAGUACUGGAGAGGUAAGCGGAACUACAAGUGUAGAGGUGAAAUUCGUAGAUAUUUGUAGGAAUGCCGAUGGGGAAGCCAGCUUACUGGACAGAUACUGACGCUGAAGCGCGAAAGCGUGGGUAGCAAACAGG
This 724-nucleotide ribosomal RNA is filed under the name uncultured Fusobacterium sp. RNAcentral's name for it is "bacterial SSU rRNA". It matches the Rfam family "Bacterial small subunit ribosomal RNA", at positions 28 to 776 of the family's 1533-position model. The record is from RNAcentral. Lineage: Bacteria; Fusobacteriati; Fusobacteriota; Fusobacteriia; Fusobacteriales; Fusobacteriaceae.